GCCUGGGUGGCUGAGUCGGUUAAGUGUCUGACUUCAGCUCAGGUCAUGAUCUCAUGGAUCGUGGGUUCGAGCCCCGUGUCAGGCU
This 85-nucleotide transfer RNA is filed under the name Felis catus (domestic cat). It matches the Rfam family "tRNA". Rfam says of the family: Transfer RNA (tRNA) molecules are approximately 80 nucleotides in length. The record is from Rfam by way of RNAcentral. Lineage: Eukaryota; Metazoa; Chordata; Mammalia; Carnivora; Felidae. RNAcentral also lists the same sequence under 3 other names.